CCUAAUCGCACCUGUAAGUCGCUUUGGAUAAGAGUGUCUGCUAAAUGACUAAAA
Molecule: non-coding RNA, 54 nt
Organism: Salmo salar (Atlantic salmon)
Lineage: Eukaryota; Metazoa; Chordata; Actinopteri; Salmoniformes; Salmonidae
Source: Rfam